CCCUAGAUGUUCUGGGCCGCACGCGCGCUACACUGAUGCAUUCAACGAGCCUAUCCUUGACCGACAGGUCCGGGUAAUCUUUGAAUCUGCAUCGUGACGGGGAUAGAUUAUUGCAAUUAUUAAUCUUCAACGAGGAAUGCCUAGUAGGCGCAAGUCAUCAGCUUGCGUCGAUUACGUCCCUGCCCUUUGUACACACCGCCCGUCGCUCCUACCGAUUGGGUGUGCUGGUGAAAUGUUCGGAUCGGCCGUUUGUCGCGGUUUCCGCGGCUCGUGGCUGAGAAGUUCAUUAAACCCUCCCACCUAGAGGAAGGAGAAGUCGUAACA
Molecule: ribosomal RNA, 324 nt
Filed under: uncultured eukaryote
Lineage: Eukaryota
Description: partial 18S ribosomal RNA
Rfam family: Eukaryotic small subunit ribosomal RNA
Source: RNAcentral